RNAcentral lists this ribosomal RNA (499 nucleotides) under uncultured bacterium. RNAcentral's name for it is "partial 16S ribosomal RNA". It matches the Rfam family "Bacterial small subunit ribosomal RNA", at positions 28 to 507 of the family's 1533-position model. The record is from RNAcentral.
GACGAACGCUGGCGGCGUGCCUAAUACAUGCAAGUCGAGCGAAGUUUUUCUGGUGCUUGCACUAGAAAAACUUAGCGGCGAACGGGUGAGUAACACGUAAAGAACCUGCCUCAUAGACUGGGACAACUAUUGGAAACGAUAGCUAAUACCGGAUAACAGUAUUUCUCGCAUGAGAGAUAUUUAAAAGUUGGUUAUGCUAACACUAUGAGAUGGCUUUGCGGUGCAUUAGCUAGUUGGUGGGGUAAAGGCCCACCAAGGCGACGAUGCAUAGCCGACCUGAGAGGGUGAUCGGCCACACUGGGACUGAGACACGGCCCAGACUCCUACGGGAGGGAGCAGUAGGGAAUCUUCCGCAAAGGGCGAGAGCCUGACGGAGCAACGCCGCGUGAGUGAAGAAGGAUUUCGGUUCGUAAAGCUCUGUUGUUAGGGAAGAAUGGAUAUGUAGUAACUAUACAUGUAAGAGACGGUACCUAACCAGAAAGCCACGGCUAACUACGUG